UAUGCCACACCCACAAGGAACUCCAGCAGUAACCAACAUUGAACAUAAGCGACAGCUUGAUUCAGUNAGAGUGAAGAGGGCCGGCAAAUGUGGUGCCAGCCGCCGCGGUUAUACCAUACGACCCAAGUUGACCUUANAGCGGCGUAAAGCGUGAUUAAAGUUACCCUGCCACNAUAGUUAAACUACAAAUUAGCUGUAAAACGCUUUUUACCUAGUAGACCCAAAAACGAAAGUUACUAUAUACAAAACAACUUGAAUUCACUACAGUUAGGGCACAAACUAGGAUUAGAUACCCUACUAUGCCUAACCAUAAACCUUCAACCUACACUAACAUCGCCAGGUGACUACGAGCAAAGCUUAAAACCCAAAGGACUUGACGGUACCCCACAUCCCCCUAGAGGAGCCUGUCCUUUAAAUCGAUAGUCCCCGAUUGACCUCACCAUUUUUAGCCCUCAGUCUGUA
RNAcentral lists this ribosomal RNA (462 nucleotides) under Hyloscirtus alytolylax. RNAcentral describes it as "partial 12S ribosomal RNA". It matches the Rfam family "Bacterial small subunit ribosomal RNA", at positions 321 to 995 of the family's 1533-position model. The record is from RNAcentral. Lineage: Eukaryota; Metazoa; Chordata; Amphibia; Anura; Hylidae.